GCAAAGGAGACAGGGAAGGGUAAACAGGCAGAAGGCAACCCGCCUGCACCCCUGCUAGCAAGGCGGGACGCCGGGGUCUUUAUUUACCCUGCUUCAGGGUGCUGCAAUACAGACGCGCAUUUCCGAGGGGAUGGGGAUGUAAAUAAAGCUUCUCUUCAGCUUUAUUUACUGAAGCAAUCACAGGUUUGGCGGCUACCCCAGCACCAGCCCACCCCACACGGAUCAUUCCUGUGGCAGCUGAAGGACAUAGCUGUCUGUGCUUCUCUGCAGGGAAGGAGAUCCAGAGCCACCCUCCCAGCAAACCCUGUAUUCACUGCUAACCCCUGACAAGGCUGGCAGCACCCACGGAUGUCUGAACCCUCAGCAGCAAGGUGUGGUGCAACAGCACAAGGCGUCUGGACCCCCCAGCUCCCCACCACAGGUAGAGGUUCUGAUGUCACCCACCCAGGCAGCUGGGACCUGUGCAAACACUGCACCCAACACCAACAGCCCCUCAAACAUCAGCCCUGCCCUAACAGACACCUUCCCUCUGGCUCCCAGCCCUGCUGCUUGCCUCCAGGCUGCCGUACACCACGGGUGACAGGAAUGGCACCUCGGUGGUGUACUGGGGAGAAUGGGACCAAGACAGUCCCAGCCCAACGCGUGCAGGCUGGGCUAGGGCACUGGGAGGCAGGAUUGCUCCAUGGCCUUUCCCAAACAUGCCUUCCCUGCCCCAGAGCCCUGCAGGCUCCUGUCUGGACUUUGUGCAGGACAAAGUCCCUGUGGACUUUGGUUACAAGAAGGUUACAAGAAGAGGAUGCAGCAGGGCUGUGAGGAAGCAGCAGCCAUGUGUCCCUCUAAAAGUCUGCUGGAAAUGCAAAAGAGAGAAGAAACAGAAUGCUCUAAUUUCCCCAGGAAAGGCAGCCUGAGAGGUCCCAUCUUACCAUCCAGGAUCUGUCCCAGCAACAGGAGACUGAGGCAGAGAAGAUACAGCCGCUGCAUUUUGCUGCUAAGUCUGGCAGAGGAUGGGCUGGAGGCAAUGGAGCUCCAGGCAGGAGAGAGUCUCCCUGGCUGUUUGCUGAAGCCUAGCUUUCCCCUGCCCUCCCCAGUGCCGGCAUGGGGGCACAGCCAAAGCUGGCAGAGAGAGGAGAGCCCAGUCAGCGCGCUCCACUCCAGGACCAAGAUCUCGCAGGCCAAAAGACAACCUGAUUUCCAGGUGUCCCAGAAAAUGGUUGUUGGCCAAAGGCAGCUACAGAGCUUCCUGUAAACAGGUUUUCUCCGUGCAAGAGCAGAAAUUCCCCACGGAGGCUGUGCGCACAGCGCAGGGUGCCAGCAUCUCACCCGCUGCGUGGGCACUGCCGAGAGCGAGGACCAGCGCUCCCGCUUCGAAUCUUCACAGGAGCACAGGGACGGGGGCUGCUUCUCCUUGGUAUGGUGACUCACCAGCGUGCCAGUGCCAGUGCCACCUGCAGUGAUGUCCCUUAAACCAGGCUGCUUCAGUCCCUUGUGGGAAGCAGAGAUCACCGGGGCUGUGCAGCCCAGGGAAGGAAUGGUGGAAGGCUCACUGCUGUCAGCAUCUCCUUGUAGGGAGUUGGAGAUGCCAGGCUCAGGGUCUUCUCUGAGGGGCCCAGGGGCAGGACAAAUGUAAAGGCAUCAGAUGCACCCACAUAAAUUCCCACUGACAAAAGGAAAAAUAUUUUGCAGCAGGGGCGAACAAGCCCUGCAGCAGAGUCUCUAUGCCUGCAGUUUUACCCUUGUUCCAGCUUUGGACUGUCGGUGCAUCAAAGGGGAGAGCAGUGUACAGACCCCCUUCCACCUUGGCACAAGGCACACAGCUGGGACCCAGGCACUUCAGUGAGUCCCUCAUGCUCCUCUCAACAGUAGGAGAGGCUCUGUCCCUUCCCCACUCCAUGCUAAGAAGCAAGAGGAGACUCCAGCCAUGCCACCAGACAUGGUGCUGCAUUCCAGCACUGGCACUGUCACCAGCCUCGUAUGUGGGGUGAUCUGCUCCAUUAGGAAAGCAUUGCCUCUGGCUGCUCCCAUGCCCAGCAAGCCAGCACUGUGGAGAAGGAAGCAGGUGGGGGCUGGUGGGCAGGAGGAGUAGCACAAACAGGAUGUACCAGGUUAACUUCAGUCAGCACCUGCUGACACUCCCAGCCAGCAGAAGUCGAGUUUAGGUGGAGGAGGAUUAGUGCCAUCAGCCCCCGGCUCCCCGCAGGUUUGGGGAUGUAGGAUGGAUCUGCAACCAAAUCUUUCCACCUAAUCUCCUCAGGACACUGCCAGAGAGAUGUCACAGCAGGAAAAAUGACAGCUCCUGGUAGCUGGUGGCCAGAACUGCUCCCAGCCCAGAGCCAGCUCCUCGCUGGGGGUUGGUCUGACAGUGUGGAGCCCUCUGCAAAGAGUGGGUCCCAAAAGCAGUGCCCUGACCCACUGCAAGUGUGGAGGGUGCUGGGGGGCUGCCCAGCAACAAACCCUCACCUCCUUGCAUGUUCAGUGUGUUUGACAGAUCUUGGAACUGAGGGCUGGCAAGGGGUGCUGGGACUCCUGUGCUGUGGGAUUUCCUCCAGGCACUGCUGGAUCCUGCACCCCAUGGCAAGCAGGGGUGUCCCCAGCUGCCCCUUCCCUGGCACAAGGCUCUCCCACCUGCUGCUGGCUCCCCACUGGCUCUACACCAAGAGAAGCAUGCUGAAUUGGGAAUAUAUCCAUCUGGGACUAAACUUCUUAGCCACCUCUGGCUGCUGGGGACCCCCAUCCCUUGAGCUGCCCACAGCCCUGCCAACAGCAUGGGCAGGAAAGGGAGGUUGUUCUUCCUCCUGACAGUUGUCAGGGAGCCCAGUGGGUCAAAGUACAGCAGCUUCACAUGCCUCUGCUCCCCAGGAAGAACACCAGAGUGAGGAAAGGGGCUUUCCACUUGCAUUGUGAAAGGGGAAUGUGGUGGGUUUCCCCCCUCUUACUGGGGUCAAUAAAAUUUCUAAGAAAA
Long non-coding RNA from Passer domesticus (house sparrow), 2959 nucleotides. RefSeq lists it as uncharacterized. The transcript is spliced from 2 exons. Lineage: Eukaryota; Metazoa; Chordata; Aves; Passeriformes; Passeridae. The record is from RefSeq and is a predicted model, not a curated record.